Molecule: ribosomal RNA, 429 nt
Filed under: uncultured bacterium
Lineage: Bacteria
Description: bacterial SSU rRNA
Rfam family: Bacterial small subunit ribosomal RNA
Source: RNAcentral
AACGAACGCUGGCGGCAUGCUUAACACAUGCAAGUUGAACGCAGAAUAGAGCUUCGGCUCUAUUGCUGAGUAGCAAACGGGUGAGUAACGCGUGGGAAUCUGCCUUCUUGUGGGGGAUAACUAAGGGAAACUUUAGCUAAUACCGCAUACGCUCUACGGAGGAAAGGCUUCGGCCGCAAGAAGAGGAGCCCGCGUCAGAUUAGGUAGUUGGUAGGGUAAAGGCCUACCAAGCCAAUGAUCUGUAGCUGGUCUGAGAGGAUGAUCAGCCACACUGGGACUGAGACACGGCCCAGACUCCUACGGGAGGCAGCAGUGGGGAAUAUUGGACAAUGGGGGAAACCCUGAUCCAGCAAUGCCGCGUGAAUGAAGAAGGCCGUUAGGGUUAGUAAGUUCUUUCACCUGUGAAGAUAAUGACGGUAGCAGGAGAAG